CAAUGAAAGAAGCCUGGUAAUGUGCAUAGAAAUUGAAUUGGGUCUUUAGGCUUGCCCUCUCUAAUGUCAUUUGGUUUUGAUUUGUGAGCAUGGUUCAACAGCAAAACA
This is a small nucleolar RNA of Rhododendron vialii, 108 nucleotides long. RefSeq annotates it as small nucleolar RNA snoR100. The record is from RefSeq and is a predicted model, not a curated record. NCBI's taxonomy places the organism in Eukaryota, Viridiplantae, Streptophyta, Magnoliopsida, Ericales, Ericaceae. The transcript has a single exon.